RNAcentral lists this long non-coding RNA (833 nucleotides) under Homo sapiens (human). RNAcentral describes it as "PREDICTED lncRNA (TCONS_00221625)". The record is from RNAcentral. Lineage: Eukaryota; Metazoa; Chordata; Mammalia; Primates; Hominidae.
ACAGAAUCUCACUCUGAUGCCCAGGCUGGAGUCCAGCGGCAUGAUCGUGGCUCACUGCAGCUUUGACCUCCCGGGCUCAAGAGAUCCUCCCACCUCAGCCUCCUCUGGGACUACAGACGGAAUCUUACUCUGUCACCCAGGCUGGAGGGCAGUGGCUUGAUCUCGGCUCACUGCAACCUCUGCUUCCCAGGUUCAAGCAAUUCUCCUGCCUCAGCCUCCCAAGUAGCUGGGAUUACAGGUGCCCGCAACCACGCCCAGCUAAUUAGCUGAUUCUAUUUAUAAAGGAGACUUAAGUGACUUAAAUGAACACAGUGAGAUCUGGGACAAUGGCACUGAAACCAAAUCGGCAGUGUGGACCCGAACACCCGACAAAUUGCUUAUCCUUUAUGUUCUCAUCUAUUAUCUCAGAAAAAGGGAGAACCAAGGGGAGGAUAAUUUCCACUGACAGCAGUGCUUGCCUAGGUAAGAGCAAAGCUGAAUGUCAUGUGUCAACACAAUUGGUUCGGACAAAUAUUGAGUGACCCUUGUGUCUCAGACCCUUGAUGGAUGUAACUGAAGAUGUUCCUGAUGCAUGACAACAGGACUUAGUUUAGCCUGCUGUUUUCAGACCUCUGGUCUACCUCUAUCCUAUCAGAAUGCCAGUCUUCCAUGGUAAAUUAGACUAAACACCAGGAGCUCCCCACUUCUAAAACUUACAGAGCCCUGAGUUUUCCCACAGAGAACUUGGUGAAUUUCUCCACUGGAACGUGCUGUGUUGGCUGGCAAGUUUAUAGGCUUGGUUUUGUCAUUUUCUUUUUCAUUUCUCAUGUUUUAUAUUUUAUUUUUGCCCCAAC